AGAGGUAGUAUGUAAUACUGCAAUGCCCCGAUGGGAUUCAUUUGCAUAUUCACACUGCCUCCCC
RNAcentral lists this microRNA precursor (64 nucleotides) under Pristionchus pacificus. Its description in RNAcentral is "microRNA ppc-mir-84d precursor". Its record names the gene ppc-mir-84d. The record is from miRBase by way of RNAcentral. Lineage: Eukaryota; Metazoa; Nematoda; Chromadorea; Rhabditida; Neodiplogasteridae.